GUCGCACAGGAGGAAUGGAGGGGAGUUGAGAGAUGAACGCCUUGUGCAUUCCAAACAGCUCGGUUGGCACGGUUUAGCGAGAGUGCUGCUCAUGUGUGAAAUAAUUAUUUGACCCAGUUAAAGUGCAGCUGACGUCAGACGGAUGUUUGCAGGACUUGUUUUCGAGCAAAGAGAAGAAAGUCGGUUGCCCUGGAGGAGUGGAGGCAGGUUGGAGUCAUGUCCUACAUAACAACCCUUCAUGAGUUUCCCCAUCAACUCUGCUAUUCUUGGACCUUAGACAGGCAUCCCUUUAGAAGAAACCUCUGCAUACGAGCUACCUCGCAAAACUCUGAAUAAAGUCCAACAGAGUGAGUGAAAGUGUUAAAGUGGCAGUAUUGAGUAUUUUCCAGCCACAUAGUGGUAUUUUAUAGCAUAAUCAAGUAACUAUGUUAACUUCAGUUGUUGUGAAAAUUCUAUAUAUACCAAAUAUGACAAAAGAAAUUAAACCUUGUAAUGUAAUCCCUUUAAACUGGGCUUCUGCCUCUUUAAAACGUCCCGCUCUUCCUGAAACUCCGCCUUCAGUAACUCAUCAUGGCUCCUAUUAACCCUUUAAGAACAUUUUUUUUUUUUUUUUUUACCAGAGUUUAACUGAGAAGUAGCUUAUAAUGAGCUCAGUCAUAUGCACAGCUCCAUCAGGUGUUUGCUAAUUGCUGCUGGCUAGUCUGAAGGAGCUGAGUGGGGGAGUUGCGGGGCAAGGUUGCUCUGUGAGGCGGAAAGCUUGGAAACUGCAGGAGCUUUAUCGUUGAAGGUCUAACCAGCUGAAUGGUUGCCAUGGAGAUUAAAGGAUUUCUCAGACAUGUAUGAAAGAAUUAAGUCAACAUAGGUAUGUUCUUGAUGAGGGAAAAGCAUUAUAACAUGAUGUAAAGCAAAAUAAAAGUCAAUUUUACAAUAAAAAGAAAAAGGUUUGGUUCCAGACUACAUCAAGUCCAGUCACAAGUCUGUAAAAAAAUCUGACUGAGAUCCAGAUGUGAGAACCCAGUUAGAGACUGAACAGAGAGUUACAAUCUGUGUCUAAAUCACUGUCAUGAGCUCACGCCUUUAAUCCGCUCUGCAUUCAGAGGGACAGAUGUGCACUUUAAACGAUGCCGUGCAGCUGGCAGGGCGCAGUAGCGGCGACCGAUCAGGUCACCGUGGUAACGCGGCAUCUGACCCACUGGCCCAGUAAACAGACCGAUUUAGAGAUCACACUGGAAGACUACGAGGUUGACCUCGGACUCGCGCGCGUGCAGUCGCCAAAUCUGCGGCUAAAUUCCUCAGAUUCCAGAUUAUCAGUGAAAGAGGCCAAACAAGAAUUAAAAAAAAAAAAAAACAUUGUGGGGAAGGAAGGAAUCCAUAACUCUCCCGUCUCUGACGUCAUCAGAGUGUCGGUUCCCCUCCGAGGCCGCCGGACCCGACUCAUGCGUCAGGGGGUCCGAGGUGACGCACCCUCGCAUCCGAACACUCUGUCUCGGUGCCAUUCAGGAAAGCGCAUUCCCAUGGCAACACCACAAUUUGCAUGUCACUCUGGUUGUCAUAGCAACCAGAGAGAAGCGGUAUUGGCGAGGCUCAGGUCAGGUUGUUUCUGGCGUUUUCAGGAGUCACAAUCAGAUGGUCCCAAUCCGGUUUGGACCUGUCGUUCUAACUGCUGCAGGCGACAACAGGUCGACCCGACAACAGCCGUCCUGAGAGCAACGCUUUGCACCGACGGGAUGCAGACGCUCUGCUCUGAAACCUGGACAGAUGCCCUCUGACAGCAGGCUGUGGAAGGAGCAGAGAAAAAAUCCUGCUGGAGUUUAACGUGGAAGGAAACAUUGUGUCACUGAGACUCCAACACAAGAUGAUAUAAAGUGAGAUUGGGCCACAUUCAGGGUCACGUCUGGAGUCGAGGUAUUCGCAGUUUUCCUGGAUGCACUUUCCGUGGCGCUAGUGACCUUUACUCACAUUAAUCAGACACAGAAAAUGGGAAAACAUGCAGCAAAGGUCUUAAGGAAUCCAACCCCAGAUGUUCUUGACGAGGGAAAAACAUUAUAACAUGAUGUAAAGCAAAAUAAAAGUCAAUUUUACAUAAAAAAUUGAUUAGUCCAGAUGAGGACUAAUGGCUUCGAUACAAGAGGUGACCACUCUGAUGUCAGGCACUGCAACACUAAAUUUUCUUCUUUUUUUUUUAUCUAUUUGGAUGAUCUCACAUUUCUAGAAAUGUCCACAUUUGAGUACUUGUUUCACUGCUUAUGGCUCUACUUUUAAAGUUGCAGUACGUAACUUUUAUAAAAUAUUUUUUUUACCUAUUUGUUGAAACUGCCAAUACGCCAUGACAGUUUAUGAGACAGAUAAUCUGUGGGAAACUGUAGCUGCUCUGCCUUGUGCUAGUGCUAAGUAUAAAGAACCAGUCAAAUUCAGGAGGCAUGUCUUAGUGCUGUCAAUCACAGUCUUGUUGGUGCUGCCCAUCGUUUUUAUUGUACAGCUAGAAGAGCCUGUUGUGUAUGCUAAGGGCAAUUAGCUUGGCCAACGGUGAUGGUAGAUAAAUGGUUUUCCUGUAACAGUGAGUUGUCUCUCUGCCAUUAGGACAUUUAAUAGAGAGUACAUGAGAUGGAUUGACAGCGCUAAGCCCCUCCUCCUCGCUCUUAUUGGUUGAUUUUGGUUGGGAGCGGUGCGUUUCUUCAGACAAUAGCAGCUCAGACAGGAGGUGGAGGAGAUUGAUCAUUUCACAUAUCUAUUUCAUAACACACUGUCACAAUAUGACAGUUUGAACAAAUAUGUAAAAAGGUUUUUUUUCUAUAAAAAUUACUUAC
Molecule: long non-coding RNA, 2807 nt
Organism: Xiphophorus hellerii (green swordtail)
Lineage: Eukaryota; Metazoa; Chordata; Actinopteri; Cyprinodontiformes; Poeciliidae
Exons: 3
Source: RefSeq, a predicted model, not a curated record